Patella vulgata (common limpet) is the source of this 424-nucleotide long non-coding RNA. RefSeq lists it as uncharacterized. NCBI's taxonomy places the organism in Eukaryota, Metazoa, Mollusca, Gastropoda, Patellidae. The transcript is spliced from 3 exons. The record is from RefSeq and is a predicted model, not a curated record.
GUGACUUACACGGGUCAGUAGAUAUCCCGUACAAUCUAUACCUUUGAAUAGUAUUCAUCAAUCUAAAUAUAGUAGAUACACACCGGUUGUGUUGUUACAUUGACACUCAGUUGAAUAGAGUUAUAGAAAAAACCUCCGUACAGCAGAGAUAAAAAUACCAAAAUGUCGGCGAUAUAUACAUUAGAAAAUCCAGUGUUUAGAGAUUUUGCUUUCCAUAGUACAGUUGUAAUGUUAAAAACAUUAUCUAUGGGUCCUAUAACGUUAUAUUACCGUGUACGCAAUAAGGCAUAUUGCAAUAAGGAAGACACGGUUUGGGUGGGAGAAAAAUGGGCAGUACCCGUACUAGAUGACGAGGAUGUUGAAAGAUCACGCAGGUGUCAUCUGAAUGACUUAGAAAAUAUCGUACCAUAUUUUAUGAUAGGUA